UACGUAGGGGGCAAGCGUUAUCCGGAAUUACUGGGUGUAAAGGGUGCGUAGGCGGUUUGUUAAGCGAGAUGUGAAAGCCCGGGGCUCAACCCCGGGACUGCAUUUGGAACUGGCAGACUGGAAUACAGGAGAGGUAAGUGGAAUUCCUAGUGUAGCGGUGAAAUGCGUAGAUAUUAGGAGGAACACCAGUGGCGAAGGCGACUUACUGGACUGUUAUUGACGCUGAGGCACGAAAGCGUGGGGAGCGAACAGG
Molecule: ribosomal RNA, 253 nt
Filed under: uncultured bacterium
Lineage: Bacteria
Description: partial 16S ribosomal RNA
Rfam family: Bacterial small subunit ribosomal RNA
Source: RNAcentral